CGAGGGUCCCUGGGAUCGUCAGGUCAGGCCUUGGGCUAACGUAGGCACUCGCAGUUCCUCCGCCUUCAGGAAGGUCUUUUUAGCAGGGGCCUUACGGGUGCGCGCUUCGGUCCUGGAGGCCUUAUCCUAGCCUCCUCUCUCCAUCAGCGCCACCCGUCUGGGGCCCAAAAGGAGGGAGCUUUACCUCUGUCCCCCAGCCUUUGGAGUGUCACCAAACAAGCCAUUCGUUCACCAAAUACUUAUUAAGUGCCUGACAACGGAGAUGUAACGAAAUUGCCUGUUUGCUCCACUCUGGUUGAAGAAACCAGUCUGACUGUCUCUGAGGCUAUGGAGCAGUCCAUCAAGAAUGAAAGCCCUCUGCCAGGCACGUUGGCUCACACCUGUAAUACCAGCACUUUGGGAGGCCGAGGCAGGUGGAUCACUUGAGGUCAGGAGUUCGACACCAGCAUGGCCAACAUGGUGAAACCCUGUCUCUACAGAAAAUAAUACUUUGCAAGGCCUCAGAAACUCUGCUAUCCACAGGCAGGUGAGAUAUUACCUUCCCUACCACCUGGCAGUCAUAGUCUAUGACACGAUUCAGCUUUAUGGAAGUGCUUCUCUAAAGAACUUCCCCCAAUUUAAGAUGAUCUUAAUUUGCUUACUUGUUUACUGUCCAUUUAGCUGCUCUAAAAUAUGAGCUCCAAAUCAGGGGCCAUGUCUGGUUGGUUACCCAUUUCCUGGGACCUAGAACGGGCCUAGCUCAGAGCAGGUGCUCACUAUUGAUGGAAUGCAUGUUGAAAGAAUGCGUGAAUCUCAUCUCCUUUUGUGGGUGAAAAACUCAUCCUAUUCUCACCCUGAUUAACUUCCUUUUUUUUCCAAAAUGGAGCCGUGAUCUGUCACCCAGCCUGGAGUGCAAUGGUGUGAUGGCUUGCUGCAACCUCUGCCUUCUGGAUUAAAACAAUUCUCCUGCCUCAGCCUCCUGGGUAGCUGGGAUUACCGGUGCAUGCCACCACGCCCGGCUAAUGUUUUGUAUUUUAAAUAGAGACAGGGUUUCACCAUGUUGGCCAGGCUGGUCUCGAACUCCUGACCUCGUGAUCCACCCACUUUGGCCUCCCAAAGUCCUGGGAUUACAGGCAUGAGCCACCGUACCCAGCCUGUCUUGAUUAACUUAAUGGAAAUAUUUACAGAGAUUCUUUCUCUUCUGGGUUCUAGCGUCUUAUGUGUAACCUCUGCAGGUAAUACAUUUUCCUUCCUGAUGAUAGCAUUUCUAUGGUUGCUUUAACUUGCAAAUCCUCUAAUACUUAUUUAUUCCAUUUCUGAUUGGCAUUAGACAUAAUUCUCAAUUUUUAGUGACAGCACUUUGUUUAACUUACAUAUAAAUCGACUUUGCCUUGAAAUGUGACAUUGACUAGAAGGAUGAAACUUCAAACAUUCUGUACAACAUAGUUUGACUGGCUAAUUUAUUAUUUAGAAGAAGUUAAUAUUGCCAUUAUGAGGGACUUAGGUGGCUCUGAAGAACCAGUUGCAUUUCUAAUGUUUGCAAUGUUAAAUCACAGAUAUUGCCAACAUGAAAUAGUUUCCAUAUGCUGUGUUCUCAAUACACACCAUUUCCAAAGAUAUCCCAAGCUGUAGUCUUAGGAAACUGUGAUUUUUCUUAUUUCAUCUCAUAGGAAUUUGGGGAGCUAUGGGGGAUCUCCAUAAAAUGAGCUCCAGAAAGACACAUGUGUGCACACACACACACUCACACAUGAACCACACCACAAUUGACUCUGUUUAUUUGGGACCCAUGAUUAUCAGAAGUGCUAUUUUCAACAAAUACUUCUGAGAAAUAAUCUGAACACUUAAUUGGAUGCAAAAGAGUGGCUAUUUACUAUUCUACCCUUUAUUUAGCAUAAUCAGUGUUUCCAGCAGCAAAAGCAAUUGGAAAAUCGAUAGUUUUAUUAGGUUCAUUAUUCUCCCUUAGCGUAGUGUGGCAUCAGCAUGGCUAUUAUUCUUAAACUGCCUCUUUAAAACAAGGGCUUGUGCUUCUUCCAGGCAAUUCCUAACUCUUGGGUUUUGUAGAGGGUCCAAAACUCUUUAGAACCUAUAAUUCAAGGAAAGGCUCCACUUUGGUUUUGCAUUUUGUCUGGUCUCUUUCGGUGACAGAAUUUAUAUCACAAGGUGCACAUAUUUUGGGGAGGCUAUGGACAGCCCAUUGCACUUGUGCUUUGGUAGGAAGUACGUGCCGUUAAGGGGAAGGAGUUAGUUACUGAUUCUAGGGAACAAUUGGGUAGAAAGAGAUGGACUCCCUGUAUUUGAAAUUCAGAACUCAAGCUUGGCUCUAAGUGUUUCCUUGCUUUGCUGUGCUCCAAGCGAGUCACUGAGCAGAAGGAAGCGAGUUGCCUGAGAUUCCUCAAAGCCCGCAGCCCUUUUGGAGGUUACAUUGUUAUUCUCAGAGCCUUUAUGAUCUAUAAUAAAGACCUAGCUUGGACCAAUAUUAGGAUGAGUUAUCUUGCUAUGAACAUUUUUUAGGUAGAAGUUGCUGGUCCCAUCUUGCUCACAAUCCUCCAAAGUUUGGAAGUUACUUUCCAGGAGACUUAGCUUGCACUGAGAGCUGCCCUCCCACCCUCUCUCCAAAUUUCCUCUUGGGAGUAGCCUAACAAGGUGCUGUCACAGACCCUUGCCAGCCACGAUGACCCCACCCAGACCAUCCCUCUGCUGUUUCACUCUUUGAUACUCUCUGGAGCUCUCUGGGGAGGGGUGAGACCUGCUGUCUGCUUUGUACUGUUUGCCCAGGUCUUACAGUCAUGGCUGGCUCCUCUCUCUGAGAACUGGGACUCCUGAACUUGGUGAAAUACCUCAGCCAUCGAUCAUGUUAAAUUAUCGGGGACACUCAUUAAAAAUGUGAGUCUGCUCCAGAUGGACUCUCUCUCUUUCUGCCCUGACCGUGAGGGAGACCGUGAGAGAGAGAGACCGUGAGAGAGAGAAACCGUGAGAGAGACCAUCAGAGAGAGAAAGAGAGACCGUGCCCUGACCUGCUGGACAGUGGAGAUGCUUGUGGGCUGUGAGCAACAGAUGCAAGGGCUGCCGGGAAUCCCAUCUUUCCAGCAUCAUCUGCCAAGGCACAUCAGUUCCUGGGUGUCUUGAUGGGUUCUGGCAGCAUUACUGUCAUUGAAGGAAAACAUUUUAGCCAUAUUAAAGGUGAACUCAGCAAUCCCCACACAGCCUGCCUGGAAGGGACGCGGGACAAGGGUAGGUUCUCCCUGUGAUGGACAGGAGGCAGGCGACCCUCCCACAGCCCUACCUGGCAAUGCAGAUGUGUCCCCAAAAGGCACUGGGGGCAGCUGGAGUGCUGUGCCUAGGCGGGCUCACCCGGGCAGCGGUUCGCUCUGAUUGCAGUGGUUUCCCACCAGCUCCUUGGAGAGCUGGCAGAUGACCCAGCCCCACAGCAGGAGCCGGGAAUGGCAGAACGAGAUACAACAAUUUGAUAUCCACUUGCCAGAUGAGCCGGGUGUCCUCAGUCGCCUGGCUCUGUGCCCAACCUCUUUUUACAUAAACACUUAUGAAUUGAGCCAGGAGGAAAAGCACUCUGAUUAUGAAUUGAGCAGAAGGAAACAAAGUUCUGCAGAUAAACACCAAUGAAACAAAAAACCACGAAUAAGAAAAAUGACAGAAAAGGAGAACCUUCCCAGAAGCCUCCUGCCAGUGAACGGUCACCAGAGCAAGAGCAUGGAGGCCCUGGGUUUUGAACUGUGAGAUAAGGAAGAUGAUGAAAACCUCCCUAGCAGCCAGGCAAGCACAAGAUUCCUGUGAAAUCCAGGUCUAAGUGUUUUGACAACAGAAGUAAUAUUAUGUCAUAGGUGAGAGCUGUGAGUUGCUGAACCCAAAGUGAGUUCAAAUCCGAGCUCUGCCUCCUGCUACCUGUGUGACUUUGAGAAGUUCCAGCACUGCUUUGUGCCUCAGUUUUGUCAUCUGUUAAAUGGGCGUAAUCACAGCUCCUGCCUCAGAGUUGUUGUAAAUUAAUACAUGUAAAGCACUGAAAUCAGCCUGGUAUAUAGUAAGUGUUAUGAACGUUAUUUUCUUGGAAGGACAGAACUUAUUUUCAUGGUCUAAUCCUGAAAGUCUAAAAAAUGUGAGAGAAGAGGAAAGAAUCUAGAGUCUCACCAUGAGGGGGAAAAGUCAACUUGAAGCAGGACAGGGUCAUUGACAAUUUCCUGUGAUUCCACAGCUGCCUUGUACACUAUGGUAGCUCCUAGCCACUCGUUGUUUAGAUUUUGUGAUUUAGAAAUGAAUUAAGGCCGGGCAUGGUGGCACACCUGUAAUCCCAGCAUUUUGGGAAGCCAAGUUGGGCAGAUCACCUGAGGUCAGGCGUUCAAGAUCAGCCUGGCCAACAUGGUGAAAUCUCGUCUCUACAAAAAUACAAAAAUUAGCCGGGCAUGAUGGUGGGUUCUUGUAAUCCUGGCUACUCAGGAGGCUGAAGCAGGAGAAUUGCUUGAACCUGGGAGAUGGAGGUUGUAGUGAGACGAGAUUGCACCACUGCAUUCCAGCCUGGAGGAGAGAGUGAGACUCUGUCUCAAAAAAAAAUUUAGUUAAGAGAAAAUUGAAAAUUCAGUUCUUCAUUCUCACCAGCCACAUUUCAAGGGCUCAUCAGCCCAUGUGGAUGUCUAGCAGCUCCCAUGUUGGAUAGUGCAGAGUAGAGCAAGUCCGCCAUUGCAGAAUGUUUGAUUGGACCAUGACUGAAUAGUCUAUUGCAGUGGUCCCCAAUUUUUUUUAGCACCAAGGACCAGUUUCCAUGUAUUUGUGGGGGGAAGUUUCAGGAUGAUUCAAGUGCAUUACAUUUAUUGUGUACUUUGUUUCUAUUGUUAUUAACAUUAUAAUAUAUAAUGAAAUCAUUAUACAACUCACCAUAAUGUAGAAUCAGUGGGAGCCCUGCGCUUGUUUUCCUGCAGCUAGAUAACCCCUUCUCCAGGUGGUGGGAGACAGUGACAGAUCAUCAGGCAUUAGAUUCUCAUAAGGAGCACACAACCUAGAUCCCUUCCACAGGCAGUUCACAAUAGGGUUGGUGCUCCUAUCAGAAUCUAAUGCCGCUGCUGAUCUAACAAGAGGCAGAGCUCAGGCGGUAAUGCUAGCCAUGGGGAGCAGCUGUAAAUACAGAUGAAGCUUCACUCACUAGCCCACUGCUCACCUCCUUCUGUGCAGCCCAGUUCCUAACAGGCCACAGACCACUACUGGUCUGUGGUCUGGGGGAUGGGGACCUCUGGUCUAUUGGAUAACACUGGCUUGGAGGGUACUGAUCAUCCAAAGAAGCGCUGAGAUGAUUUGGCCUCCAUUAAUAAGAAUGAUGGACUUUUUUUUUUUUUUGAGACAGAGUUUUGCUCUUGUUGCCCAUGCUGGAGUGCAGUGGCACAAUUUCGGCUCACUGCAACCUCUGCCUCCCAGGUUCAAGAGAUUCUCAUGCCUCAGCCUCCCAAGUAGCUGGGAUUACAGGUGCCUGCCACCAUGCCUGGCUAAUUUUUGUAUUUUUAGUAGAGUCGGGGUUUUGCCAUGUUGACCAGGCUGGUCUUGAAUUCCUGACCUCAAGUGAUCCACCUGCCUCGGUCUCCCGAAGUGCUGGGAUUACAGGCGUGAGACACCGUGCCUGGCCAGAUGGACUUUUUUUGAACAUUUAGUUCCAAGCACCUUCCCUGCAUUUUCUCAGUUAAUCCUCCCAGUGACUCUGAAGCAGGGACUAUGACAAUCUUCAUUUCACAGAUGGGGCAACUCAGGCACAGAGAGGAAGUCAAUGGCCACGGUCGCCCAGCUGAGGAAGGAUGGAGCCGGCUGAGAUCCUGUUCUGGGGAUCUAACUCUGCAGCCUGCAUUCUGGGCUGCUGUAUUCUCCCAUGUUGCUAUCUGACGAGCACAGCAUGGGCUCAGAGUACAGAGAGGAGACACCAGCUAAUAAGGAUAGGUCUGGGGUGAAGGCUGGUGCCUUGGGGAAGAAGAGAGAUGCCCCAUUCUAAAGGGAUGCCGUUGGAAGCUCAUAGUGAUAAAGCAAAGCCAACAGGUUUUGGGGCUGGGAGUUAAGCACACAGCUCUGGUUUCUGCCUUUUCACAGUGGUGAUGAAUGGGCACUGAGACCCUCUCAAGCUAAAGUUGUCAUCACUGCUCUUCAUAGUCUGAAGGUGCAUGAAAUGGUCAACUUUCUUCCAAAGGGCUUUUAUGCCUAAGUCUGAGGUUAGUGUAUAAACAGAUAUUUACUGAAGUCCUGCUGGGUGCAGACACCGUGGCCAGCCCUGAGGCUACAGUCGAGAUGAAGCCAGUCUCUGUCCUCAUGAAGACCUGUCUAUUGAUAAGAAAAGAGAAAGCUCACUGAGCAUUGACCCUGUGCCCACUGCUUUUGGUGCAUCUCUCAUUUAAUCCUUCUAUCAAAUCUGUGAAAUAAACACAUCACCAUCAUCCCUAUUUCACAUUUAGGGAAACAUAUGCUUAGAGAGGGUAAGUAACUUGGUCAAGGUCACACAGCUUCGAACUCUCCUCCCACAGGCGCAGGAAUGAGAUGCAGCAGCUGGGGAAGCCAGGGUCUCUGGCAGUCCUUGUCUCUGGGCAGUGAUCCAGAGAGAGAACACGAUUGUCUCAGCACUGGAUCUUCUUCUGAGUCGUUUUGAAGGAGCAAUUGCAGAGCGUCUCGGUGUUAAACAUCAUGUUGUGAAUGACUCCGUGAUCUCUGACCCAGUGUCCUUGGGGAUAAAGGAGGGGAG
RNAcentral lists this long non-coding RNA (6697 nucleotides) under Homo sapiens (human). RNAcentral describes it as "HSALNT0060527". Lineage: Eukaryota; Metazoa; Chordata; Mammalia; Primates; Hominidae. The record is from RNAcentral.